AACGAACGCUGGCGGCAUGCCUAACACAUGCAAGUCGAACGAUCCCUUCGGGCAUAGUGUCGCACGGGUGUGUAACGCGUGGGAACCUGCCCUGUGGUACGGACUAACUCCGGGAAACUGGAGCUAAUACCAUAUGUGUGCCCUUGGCCAAAGAUUUAUCGCCACGGGAUGGGCCCGCGUAGGAUUAGCUUUUUGUUGGGGUAACGGCCUACCAAGGCUCCGAUCCUUAGCUUGUCUGAGAGGCUGAUCAGCCACACUGGGACUGAGACACGGCCCAGACUCCUACGGGAGGCAGCAGUGGGGAAUAUUGGACAAUGGGCGCAAGCCUGAUCCAGCAAUGCCGCGUGAGUGAUGAAGGCCUUCGGGUUGUAAAGCUCUUUCGCACGCGACGAUGAUGACGGUAGCGUGAGAAGAAGCCCCGGCUAACUUCGUG
RNAcentral lists this ribosomal RNA (433 nucleotides) under uncultured bacterium. Its description in RNAcentral is "partial 16S ribosomal RNA". It matches the Rfam family "Bacterial small subunit ribosomal RNA", at positions 29 to 507 of the family's 1533-position model. The record is from RNAcentral.